RNAcentral lists this ribosomal RNA (795 nucleotides) under uncultured fungus. Its description in RNAcentral is "eukaryotic LSU rRNA". It matches the Rfam family "Eukaryotic large subunit ribosomal RNA", at positions 24 to 664 of the family's 3401-position model. Lineage: Eukaryota; Fungi. The record is from RNAcentral.
CCCGCUGAACUUAAGCAUAUCAAUAAGCGGAGGAAAAGAAAGCAAAUGCGAUUCCCUUAGUAACGGCGAGUGAAAGGGGAGAAGCCCAUCGUGAAGGCCUGUUUCCGUGAGGACUCGGGCGAUGCCACGAUAGUUAAGCGGGUAAGCGGUUGUUGGACUAGGGCUGUAAAUCUGCUUAAGUGCAGUGCCAUAGAAGGUCGAAGCCCUGUUUCGGCCCUGGUCCUUUUGCUGCGCUACCGUUUAAUAAGAGUCGGGUUACUUGAAAGUGUAACCUAAAGAUGCAGGUAGAUCCCUGCUAAGGCUAAAUACGUCCACCAGACCGAUAGCAAACAAGUACCGUGAGGGAAAGUUGCAAAGUACUUUGAAGAGAGAGUUAAAAGAACGUGAAACGGCUAACGGGUAAACGGUUGUAGUGGUCGGAAUAAUCGGCUGGCUUUCAUGAUUCCUGGGUUAAGGGUCUCUCUCUGAGAGAGCCUGUCCCGCAUAGGAGUCUGCAUUAGCCCGGUCGGUGCUGUCCUGCGGCGCUAGGAACUGGUGUGCUCGGCUUGUGAGGAGUUGUCGUGCGUUCAUUCCUUCGGGAGUGGAUGAUAAGCGCGGCUGCCUUGUCUUGCUAGUGGUACUGUUCUUAGUGCGGUAACCCUUUCUAGGGUACGUGAUGUUUGUCGAAGGGGCUGACCUGCGUUGGAGACGGGCUGUAGGUGAUAAACCGAAUGCCUGUGUUUAGCGCAAUAGGUUCUUGAGACAGGCGUUACUGCAGAUGAGCACUAACUGUAACCGUCCCGUCUUGAAACACGG